This 513-nucleotide ribosomal RNA is filed under the name uncultured bacterium. Its description in RNAcentral is "partial 16S ribosomal RNA". It matches the Rfam family "Bacterial small subunit ribosomal RNA", at positions 28 to 507 of the family's 1533-position model. The record is from RNAcentral.
GAUGAACGCUGGCGGCGUGCCUAACACAUGCAAGUCGAACGAAAAGAGGGAAAGAGUUUGCUUUUUCCGGAAUUGAGUGGCAAACGGGUGAGUAAUACGUAAACAACCUGCCUUCAGGAUGGGGACAACAGACGGCGACGACUACUAAUACCGAAUAAGUUCCAAGAGCCGCACGGCACAUGGAAGAAAAGGUGGCCUCUAUCUGUAAGCUAUCGCCUGCAGAGGGGUUUGCGUCUGAUUUGACGGUUGGGGGGGUCACGGCCCACCAAGGCGACGAUCAGUAAGCGGUCUGGGGAGGUGGACGGCCACACUGGGACUGGGACACGGGCCAAGCUCCUACGGGGAGCAACCGGUGGGGAUCAUCCGCAAUGGGCGGAAGCCCUGAGGGAGAACGCCCCGUGGGUGGUGGCGGGCUUCGGGUUGUAAAACUCUGUGAUCCGGGGCGAAAAGGCAGAGUGCGAAGAACAACCUGCAUUGACGGUACCGGAAAAGCAAGCCACGGCUAACUACGUG